RNAcentral lists this non-coding RNA (28 nucleotides) under Rattus norvegicus (Norway rat). Lineage: Eukaryota; Metazoa; Chordata; Mammalia; Rodentia; Muridae. The record is from RNAcentral.
UCCCUGUGAGUGGAAUGGCUUCUCAAAU